This is a long non-coding RNA of Orcinus orca (killer whale), 813 nucleotides long. RefSeq lists it as uncharacterized. The record is from RefSeq and is a predicted model, not a curated record. The transcript has 2 exons. NCBI's taxonomy places the organism in Eukaryota, Metazoa, Chordata, Mammalia, Artiodactyla, Delphinidae.
UUGGGUUGGGCUUUCAAGUAUGAGUAAGACUUUAACAGAAAUAAAAGGGAAGGGACGAUGUUCCAGGCCUAUAAAACGAUGUGCUCUGUGGUCCCGAGGCAUGAGAAGGCGGGGGCCAUUCUGAGAGAGGCCCACAAGAUUGGAACGAGAGGACACCAUGAGGAGACUAGACGAGGGUCUGGCAGUUUCUGCUCUAGCCAGGUGUUCUCAAUGCCCGUCACCUCCAACCAGCCUUUCCCGGGGUUUCCAAAGGAAGCAGCUCUGCAGAGACUUCGGCAACUCCCAGUGUCUCCCCCGUCACUGGCACCCUCAGCUCUGUCAUGGUGAGCCCACGGCGUUUAUCUGAUCAUCCGGCCAAGGACCUCCUUCGGGCUCAGGACGUCCUGGUCCCCGAACCUGUGAUGAGCUCCGGUUUCCCUUUGCCCUCCCCUGCCUUGGAUGGAGCUUCGCCUCCUGGUUGUUUCCUGCGGCCUUUACCUCCCGUGUUUGCUGGGACUGUGAUCUCCCGACCCAGGGCCCGUUCAGAUUUCUGCCUUUUCACAACUGUAUUCUUGCCUCUGGUCCCAGGAUUUCCAACGACCUGUUGCUGCCUACUCCCAGGAGUGGCAUGUAGGACAAGAAUGCAUUACCCUGUGUCUCUGCUUUGAAACAUUUUCUCAGUCAACCACCUUCUACUGGUUAUUUUUCUCAUUAUAGAGAGGGAGGGAGGAAGGACAAAGAAUCUAUUUCACUUGCUUAAACUCAUUGUACGGUUGGUUAACUCUACAUAGAAUGUGAAAAACAAAAGAUUAAUUAUACCCUUUAGUAGCAUCA